This 383-nucleotide unclassified non-coding RNA is filed under the name uncultured bacterium. RNAcentral describes it as "contains 16S-23S intergenic spacer region". The record is from RNAcentral.
UCCCGGUUUCCCGGGCAGUCCCGCCAGAGUGCCCAUAAAAAUGGUAGCAACUGGCAGCAAGAGUUGCGCUCGUUAUAGGACUUAACCCAACAUCUCACGACACGAGCUGACGACAGCCAUGCAGCACCUGUGUACCUGUCUAAACAAAGUUUAGAAGAUCGUAUUUCUACGACUGUCAAGUACAUGUCAAACCCAGGUAAGGUUCCUCGCGUAGUGUCGAAUUAAACCACAUGUUCCACCGCUUGUGCGGGCCCCCGUCAAUUCUUUUGAGUUUUAGUCUUGCGACCGUACUUCCCAGGCGGAUCACUUAUCGCGUUAGCUGCGACACUGAUUUAGCAAAGCCAAACCAACAUCAAGUGAUCAUCGUUUACAGCGUGGACUAC